GCCCCCAUGGUCUAGUGGUCAGGAUGCCGGGUUCUCAGCCCGAAGGCCGGGGUUCGACUCCCCGUGGGGGUACCA
RNAcentral lists this transfer RNA (75 nucleotides) under candidate division WS1 bacterium. Its description in RNAcentral is "tRNA-Glu". It matches the Rfam family "tRNA". From Rfam's summary of the family: Transfer RNA (tRNA) molecules are approximately 80 nucleotides in length. Their secondary structure includes four short double-helical elements and three loops (D, anti-codon, and T loops). Lineage: Bacteria; Bacillati. The record is from RNAcentral.